This 25-nucleotide non-coding RNA is filed under the name Cricetulus griseus (Chinese hamster). Lineage: Eukaryota; Metazoa; Chordata; Mammalia; Rodentia; Cricetidae. The record is from RNAcentral.
AUGGAUGAGAAAUGCGGAUAUGGGA